AGUGGCGGACGGGUGAGUAACGCGUGAGAAUCUGCCUUCAGGAGGGGGACAACAGUUGGAAACGGCUGCUAAUACCCCGUAAGUCUACGGAUAAAACGGUUUCCGCCUGAAGAUGAGCUCGCGUCGGAUUAGCUAGUUGGUGGGGUAAAGGCUUACCAAGGCGACGAUCCGUAGCUGGUCUGAGAGGAUGAUCAGCCACACUGGGACUGAGACACGGCCCAGACUCCUACGGGAGGCAGCAGUGGGGAAUUUUCCGCAAUGGGCGAAAGCCUGACGGAGCAACGCCGCGUGCGGGAGGACGGCCUGUGGGUUGUAAACCGCUUUUCUCAGGGAAGAAGAUCUGACGGUACCUGAGGAAUCAGCAUCGGCUAACUCCGUGCCAGCAGCCGCGGUAAUACGGAGGAUGCAAGCGUUAUCCGGAUUUAUUGGGCGUAAAGCGUCCGCAGGCGGCUAAUCAAGUCUGCUGUUAAAGGCCGAGGCUUAACUUCGGUUGAGCAGUGGAAACUGAUUAGCUAGAGUGCGAUAGGGGUAGAGGGAAUUCCCAGUGUAGCGGUGAAAAUCGUAGAUAUUGGGAAGAACACCAGUGGCGAAGGCGCUCUACUGGGUCGCAACUGACGCUGAGGGACGAAAGCUAGGGGAGCGAAAGGGAUUAGAUACCCC
This 660-nucleotide ribosomal RNA is filed under the name uncultured bacterium. Its description in RNAcentral is "bacterial SSU rRNA". It matches the Rfam family "Bacterial small subunit ribosomal RNA", at positions 94 to 788 of the family's 1533-position model. The record is from RNAcentral.